UACGAAGGGGGCUAGCGUUGUUCGGAAUUACUGGGCGUAAAGCGCGCGCAGGCGGUUUCUCAAGUCAGUGGUGAAAGCCCGGAGCUCAACUCCGGAACUGCCAUUGAAACUGUGAAACUUGAGGACGAGAGAGGUGAGUGGAAUUCCCAGUGUAGAGGUGAAAUUCGUAGAUAUUGGGAAGAACACCGGUGGCGAAGGCGGCUCACUGGCUCGUUUCUGACGCUCAGGCGCGACAGCGUGGGAGUC
Molecule: ribosomal RNA, 246 nt
Filed under: uncultured bacterium
Lineage: Bacteria
Description: partial 16S ribosomal RNA
Rfam family: Bacterial small subunit ribosomal RNA
Source: RNAcentral